Molecule: ribosomal RNA, 398 nt
Filed under: uncultured bacterium
Lineage: Bacteria
Description: bacterial SSU rRNA
Rfam family: Bacterial small subunit ribosomal RNA
Source: RNAcentral
UAAUACGUAGGGUGCGAGCGUUGUCCGGAAUUAUUGGGCGUAAAGGGCUCGUAGGCGGUUUGUCGCGUCGGGAGUGAAAACCCAGGGCUUAACUCUGGGCUUGCUUUCGAUACGGGCAGACUAGAGGCAUGCAGGGGAGAACGGAAUUCCUGGUGUAGCGGUGAAAUGCGCAGAUAUCAGGAGGAACACCGGUGGCGAAGGCGGUUCUCUGGGCAUGUCCUGACGCUGAGGAGCGAAAGUGUGGGGAGCGAACAGGAUUAGAUACCCUGGUAGUCCACACCGUAAACGUUGGGCGCUAGGUGUGGGAUCCAUUCCACGGGUUCCGUGCCGCAGCUAACGCAUUAAGCGCCCCGCCUGGGGAGUACGGCCGCAAGGCUAAAACUCAAAUGAAUUGACGG